This is a long non-coding RNA of Culex pipiens pallens (northern house mosquito), 604 nucleotides long. RefSeq lists it as uncharacterized. The transcript has 2 exons. NCBI's taxonomy places the organism in Eukaryota, Metazoa, Arthropoda, Insecta, Diptera, Culicidae. The record is from RefSeq and is a predicted model, not a curated record.
UUGUGAGUUUGAAUCAACAAACUUGUUUGUUAUCAACGAAUAUCUUGGAUUAUUGAACUGGAAAACAAAUUUUGUGAGUUCUAUAAUCACUUAUUAUCAAUCCUACAAAUAUUUUGUCAGUUCGACAAACACGAUUGUUGAUUUCGCUUCGAUUUUUAUUGACGUGUACUAAAAAUUGAGAGUGUACGUAUUUUUUCAACGUCACCGAAUAUCAAGAUGGCCGAAAACAGAAAAAAGGAGGCGAAUUUCUUCGUGCUGAUUUGCCAGAUUCGGCCAGUCCGUAAGUAUUUAUUAACUUUUGUAUCGGAUCUAAGUAUAGUGUAUUUAUCUUUCCAUACCAAUCAGGGACCGUGGCGAAUCAAAGUUGGAAAAAAACUAGGUCCAGUUCCGGAGAACGUUCCGGCUUUCCUGGUAGUUUCAGUAUAUUUUCAAAAUGAUCCCACAGUGACGACAGCCAAGGAUUUUCCAGGGUUCCCCAGGGAGCUGCUAGAAAAUAGGAUUUAAUACAAGGAUAAAGGAGUGAUUGACCGAGUCGAAUUUCAUGAUGAAUGUAAGUUUGAGUAGUAUAUCGUAAUAAAUAAAAUACAAAUAAACUUAGAAACAA